This 252-nucleotide long non-coding RNA is filed under the name Setaria viridis. Its description in RNAcentral is "long non-coding RNA (SVIR_LNC005884)". Lineage: Eukaryota; Viridiplantae; Streptophyta; Magnoliopsida; Poales; Poaceae. The record is from RNAcentral.
UUUGGAUGCCAUAGAAUUCUUCUAAGUCUUUCUUUUUCCUAUCAUUUGAUGGUUUGGUAAUUCAUCCUUGGAACCUAUAAAAUACCUACAAAGGUUUAUUUUGUAAACACAUUAGUCCCAAUGACAAUAUUGUCAUUAAUCACCAAAAUCAUUAUGGCCUAGGACCAUUUUCCUUAAAAAAUCAUAUGAAAAUGAUCAAAAUCCAGGUGCAAAUGCAUUUGGAUGCAAAUUCUCUGUAAUUUUUCAUCUAUU